GCUGGGCGCCAUGGCGCGUGCCUAUAGCCCCAGCUACUCGGGAGACUGAGGUGGGAGGAUCCCUCCAGCCCACGAGUUCUGGGCUGUAGUGCGCUAUGCCUAUCGGAUGUCCGCACUAAGUUUGGCAUCGAUAUGGUGACCUCCCGGGAGCGGGGGACCACCAGGUUGCCUAAGGAGGAGUGAACAGGCCCAGGUCGGAAACGGAGUAGGUCAAAACUCCCGUGCUGAUCAGUAGGGGAAUCGCGCCUGUGAAUAACCACUGCACUCCAGCCUGGGCAACAUAGCGAGACCCCAUCUCUU
Molecule: unclassified non-coding RNA, 300 nt
Organism: Callithrix jacchus (white-tufted-ear marmoset)
Lineage: Eukaryota; Metazoa; Chordata; Mammalia; Primates; Cebidae
Rfam family: Metazoan signal recognition particle RNA
About the family: The signal recognition particle (SRP) is a universally conserved ribonucleoprotein. It is involved in the co-translational targeting of proteins to membranes.
Source: Ensembl